Molecule: ribosomal RNA, 497 nt
Filed under: uncultured bacterium
Lineage: Bacteria
Description: partial 16S ribosomal RNA
Rfam family: Bacterial small subunit ribosomal RNA
Source: RNAcentral
UCUUCCCUCUUUCUUCGUGCCUAAUACAUGCAAGUCGAGCGAACGGACGAGAAGCUUGCUUCUCUGAUGUUAGCGGCGGACGGGUGAGUAACACGUGGAUAACCUACCUAUAAGACUGGGAUAACUUCGGGAAACCGGAGCUAAUACCGGAUGAUAUUUUGAACCGCAUGGUUCAAAAGUGAAAGACGGUCUUGCUGUCACUUAUAGAUGGAUCCGCGCUGCAUUAGCUAGUUGGUAAGGUAACGGCUUACCAAGGCAACGAUGCAUAGGCGACCUGAGAGGGUGAUCGGCCACACUGGAACUGAGACACGGUCCAGACUCCUACGGGAGGCAGCAGUAGGGAAUCUUCCGCAAUGGGCGAAAGCCUGACGGAGCAACGCCGCGUGAGUGAUGACGGUCUUCGGAUCGUAAAACUCUGUUAUUAGGGAAGAACAUAUGUGUAAGUAACUGUGCACAUCUUGACGGUACCUAAUCAGAAAGCCACGGCUAACUACGUG